AUUUCACAAAGAACUUUACUUUUGAGCAGAGUGUACCAGGUGGUAAGUUGGGGAAUGACAGAGAAGAGGAAUGUUGUGUGAAGUUAGCAGCAGGGCGUGCGUGGUUUGGUGUGGCUGAAGAAAGGGGCACAUUUUCUUGGAGUAUAGAGUACAAGUCAGAGAAGAUAACGUUGAAAGAUGUACACAAAGGCCUCUUUCUUGUGGUAUGGUCUGUUUAAAAAAAUUCUUUCUAAUUGUUUAUUGUUUUAAAAGAAAAGCAGAGAAAUGAAUCUAGAAGGAACGAAUCUAGACAAACUUCCAAUGGCCUCAACAAUCACAAAAAUACCCAGUCCAUUAAUAACUGAGGAAGGACCCAACUUGCCAGAAAUCAGACACAGAGGCCGGUUUGCUGUGGAGUUUAACAAAAUGCAGGAUCUUAUCUUCAAAAAACCUACAAGGCAGACCAUCAUGACUACGGAGACACUGAAGAAAAUUCAGAUUGAUAGGCAGUUUUUCAGCGAUGUGAUUGCAGAUACCAUUAAGGAGUUGCAAGAUUCGGCCACUUACAACAGUCUCCUGCAAGCUUUGAGCAAAGAGAGGGAAAACAAAAUGCAUUUCUAUGACGUCAUCGCCAGGGAGGAAAAAGGAAGAAAACAGAUAAUAUCACUUCAAAAACAGCUAAUUAAUGUCAAAAAGGAAUGGCAAUUUGAAGUCCAGAGUCAGAAUGAGUAUAUUGCUAACCUCAAGGACCAACUGCAAGAGAUGAAGGCAAAAUCCAACUUGGAGAAUCGCUACAUGAAAACCAAUACCGAGCUGCAGAUUGCCCAGACCCAGAAAAAGUGUAACAGAACAGAGGAACUCUUGCUGGAAGAGAUUGAGAAACUAAGGAUGAAAACCGAAGAAGAGGCCCGGAUUCAUACGGAGAUUGAAAUGUUCCUUAGAAAGGAGCAGCAGAAACUUGAGGAGAGGCUAGAGUUCUGGAUGGAGAAAUAUGAUAAGGACACAGAAAUGAAACAGAAUGAACUAAAUGCUCUCAAAGCCGCAAAGGCCAGUGACUUAGCACACCUUCAAGACCUGGCAAAGAUGAUAAGAGAGUAUGAACAGGUCAUCAUUGAAGAUCGUAUAGAAAAGGAGAGGAGCAAGAAGAAGGUAGAACAGGAUCUCUUGGAAUUAAAGAGUGUUAUAAAGCUCCAGGCCUGGUGGCGAGGCACUAUGAUACGGAGAGAAAUUGGUGGUUUCAAGAUGCCUAAAGACAAAGUUGAUAGCAAGGAUUCAAAAGGCAAAGGUAAAGGCAAGGAUAAGAGGAGAGGCAAGAAGAAGUGACCAAGUUCUCUUCUGUGUUUUCCGCUGGUAUUCUGGAGGGGGAAGGACUUGGAGAGAGUUAAGAAACACCUGGUACCUCAAAGAUGACUCAUCUACAGGUUGUUUCCUAUUGAGACUUUCCCAGGGAAGCCUGAUUUCACUCGGGCUGUUAAUUUCACUCGGGCUGUUAAUUUCACUUGGCCUGUUAAUUUCACUCUGCCUGUUAGGUGGGUUUUCAAACCCUGAUUUAGGAUUAUACCAUUGACUUAGGGCUUCCUCAUACCUUUUUGGGAAGAAGUUUCUGGUAGUCCUGUGAAGAUUCAUUCUUCUUGCUCUUUCUCAGCAGAACAAAGGAGUUCAUUGGCUUAGUUACAGUGAUGCAUUAAAACUUCAGUAAUUCCUGUAAUGUCUGAUUCUGAUUUUACCCAAUUUGUCUGUAGUGAAAAAACUCUUAUGAGCAAAAGUAUUCAGUAGGAAUUACAAUAUGAUGUUACUAGCUGUCCAGCAUAAUAUAUACACAGCAAAGUUUUAAUAAAUGUUGGUUCCUGCCUGCCUUUU
Molecule: small RNA, 1839 nt
Filed under: Pongo abelii (Sumatran orangutan)
Lineage: Eukaryota; Metazoa; Chordata; Mammalia; Primates; Hominidae
Description: retained intron
Source: RNAcentral